AUAGUGAUAUACCGAGGAAGCUGCCUUAGCGAGUCAGACCAUUGGUCAGUUUAGCUCAGUAUUGUCUGCAGCGACUGGCUUUCUAUCUCUGGGAUUUCAGAUGGUCUUUCUUUCCCAGGCCUACCUGGAGAUCAAAAUGGGUUUUUUCCCAUGCAAAGCAGGUGCUCUACUACUGAGAUAGGCCCCUUCCUCUAAACCCGGGAAUUACGGGUUUUCUGCUAUGUGUAAAAGGAGGUUGGAAUGCUCUCCCUUUAGAAACAUUGCUUAAUGAAGAAUAUCCUUACUUGUUAGAGAAACAGGGACGGGAAAAGGAAGGGAGACAUGGAAGCAAGGCGGAACAGGAGGCCCCUAAAAGUUCUGAAGAAACAUCCAAACUCGGGAGGAACAAGUCACCCUGCGCAGAUCCAUCUCUAUGAAAAUGAUCUUCGCCAUCAGGAUGACCAAGAAAUCUUUAAAUUGAUGCUGAGGAGCCUCCUUUCAGAGGCCCCAACCAUCAAGACAUUACCAUGCAUGUUGAAGUGAAUGUGUUGAUGGCGUGACAUUACGUCUCAUUUCAGCAGAGCGGCUCACCCCUCCAACCCAUAUUUCGUCAGCAGAAUCACCCACUGUUCACCCCUUGGGCCCUUCCACUGCCAGCAGGCAAGCUGAACACCUUGGAGACUUCCGGACUAACAUGCUCCAUGAUGGGUUGUAGUUUGUGCUCCUGUUUUCUCUAGACAGACGAAGUUGCAAGGUGAGAGAAAAAGGGGGAGCAGCUGAAGUCGAAGUUGCCCCGAUGCUCAAGUGGAGAUCUUGGGAGGCAAAAGUUCCAGGUGGCGCAGCAAGGGGUUUCCCUUCCUCAAAUUUCAACAAAACUGAGAACUGAACAAAGAGUAGAGGGGAGAACCUCAGCGCUCUGAAUGAAAAGCACUCUCGCUUGCCAACGCCUUGAAACCCGAGUGAACAGCACUGGUCUGCUCUGCAAAAAUAGGGAAUUAAAAAUGAACCAACUGCAUCCCAAUAACAAGCAGAAAGCAAGGAGCAAAUAGAUCCAUCUCUAUGGAAACAAUCUUCGCCAUCAGGAUGACCAAGAUAUCUUUAAAUUGAUGCUGAGGGGCCUCCUUUCAGAGGCCCCAACCAUCAAGACAUUACCAUGCAUGUUGAGGUGAAUGUGUUGAUGGUGUGAUGUUGCGUCUCAUUUCAGCAGAGCUGGCAGGGAGGCUCACGAUCCAUCGUUCAGUCCUUGGGUCCUUCCACUGCCGGCAGGCAAAGCUGAACACCCUGGAACAGCACUACCCCACAUUUCUGGCAAGGGAUCUCUCCUGCUGUGCAAGAGGGAUGGUGGUCUUGAUUCUGAGGGGCUUUUUCCUCCUAUAGAGCUGAGCCUUUGCAUGAUAACAAGCUGAGGAGAAGAGGGACCUGGCUAUCAGCAGCAUCCAAUAUCUGCUGGCAUGUGCAGGGAAGUUUCCCAACCUGAUCUUAUGCAUCUCGCCUUCAUUCCCUUAUUUCAAAUAGUUUGAGGACAAAUGACACCAGAGGUGGGUGGAGCAUGGUCUCCCCGUGGGGCCAUGAUGGUUCAGGUGGCAUUUUUUGCCCUCCCUCUUGGUGAUGCCCUUUGGCCUGUGCCCACUAGGCAACAGAGCCCAUAGAGCAGGCAUAGGCAAACUCAGCCCUCCAGAUAUUUUGGGACAACUCCCAUCAUCCCUGACCACUGGUCCUGUUAGCUAGGGAUGAUGGAAGUUAGUCCCAAAACAUCUGGAGGGCCGAUUUUGCCUAUGCCUGCCAUAGAGUUUCCUUUGAGGUAAAGGAGUGGAGCUGAACAUCUGGAUCUCACUUAGUUCUGCUUUGGAUUUCUCUUGUACCAACUCUCUGGGUUGGGCUGUACGUGCCCCCCCCCCAAAGGACCUGAUUUUCUUGUCUCAGCAGUUGGUGCCCAUUAAAGAUACCUUCUUUCCAGAACUGGCCUGGCUGUGCCCCUGAAACAGAAGCUAAGAUCCCCAUGUGGAACUCAGAAUGAACCGACAGGCCUCACUUUCCACACUAAAGCCAUCACCUGUAGCUUAACUGGGACCUGAGGACGGCCUGCUUCACAGCUGUAGCAUGGAGUCUUGAAAUCCCAGUCUUUCGCCAUGGCCAAAAAGCAGGGAGGGGAUGGAGAGGCAGUUGCCAGCUGCUGUGUCAAUGUACAGGUUUUUGUAUGACGAUACAAUGAACUCAGUUCUGAUGUUGCAAAUAAUUCAUUGGGCUGAGCAGGUGCUUAGAGGCACUCUGUUCUUAUAGCUAUCUGUGUAUGUCUGCUCCCACUCUGUGCAUCAGUUUUGCACCUGGUUUGGGUUGGAACAUGGGGGGGGGGGAGUUACAGUAAAAUACAAAGCCAAGCCUGAAGUCUGCCCGUCCCUGUUAGGAAGAAUAAACUGUAUCAAGUGUUAUAAAUAGCAA
Podarcis raffonei (Aeolian wall lizard) is the source of this 2418-nucleotide long non-coding RNA. RefSeq lists it as uncharacterized. The record is from RefSeq and is a predicted model, not a curated record. NCBI's taxonomy places the organism in Eukaryota, Metazoa, Chordata, Lepidosauria, Squamata, Lacertidae. The transcript is spliced from 3 exons.